This 253-nucleotide ribosomal RNA is filed under the name uncultured bacterium. RNAcentral's name for it is "partial 16S ribosomal RNA". It matches the Rfam family "Bacterial small subunit ribosomal RNA", at positions 524 to 776 of the family's 1533-position model. The record is from RNAcentral.
UACGGAGGGUGCAAGCGUUAUCCGGAUUCAUUGGGCUUAAAGGGCGCGUAGGCGGGUUGGCAAGUCCGGGGUGAAAUCCCCAAGCUUAACUUGGGAACUGCCGUGGAUACUAUCAAUCUUGAAUAUCGUGGAGGUAAGCGGAAUAUGUCAUGUAGCGGUGAAAUGCUUAGAUAUGACAUAGAACACCAAUUGCGUAGGCAGCUUACUACACGAUCAUUGACGCUGAGGCACGAAAGCGUGGGGAGCAAACAGG